GACGUAGGGCGCGAGCGUUGUCCGGAUUUAUUGGGCGUAAAGAGCUCGUAGGCGGCUUGUCGCGUCGACUGUGAAAUCCCGCGGCUCAACUGCGGGUCUGCAGCCGAUACGGGCAGGCUAGAGUUCGGUAGGGGAGACUGGAAUUCCUGGUGUAGCGGGGAAAUGCGCAGAUAUCAGGAGGAACACCGGUGGCGAAGGCGGGUCUCUGGGCCGUAACUGACGCUGAGGAGCGAAAGCAUGGGGAGCGAACAGG
RNAcentral lists this ribosomal RNA (253 nucleotides) under uncultured bacterium. Its description in RNAcentral is "partial 16S ribosomal RNA". It matches the Rfam family "Bacterial small subunit ribosomal RNA", at positions 524 to 776 of the family's 1533-position model. The record is from RNAcentral.